CAAUAGCGUAUAUUUAAGUUGUUGCAGUUAAAAAGCUCGUAGUUGGAUUUCUGCUGAUCGCUGUCGGUCUGCCGUCAGGUGUGUACUGGCAGUGUUUGGCAUCUAUUCGAGAUUGGGUGUCCACUUGAUUGUGUGCACUCGAUGUCGGAGCUAAUACUUUGAGAAAAUUAGAGUGUUCCACGCAGGCGCGUGCCUUGAAUACUGCAGCAUGGGAUAUUGGAAGGCCGAUUGAGCUUUCUUGUUGGUUCUCGGUUUGAUCGGAAUGAUUAAUAGGGAUAGUUGGGGGCAUUCGUAUUCAACUGUCAGAGGUGAAAUUCUUGGAUUUACGCAAGACAAACAGCUGCGAAAGCGUCUGCCAAGGAUGUUUUCAUUAA
Molecule: ribosomal RNA, 374 nt
Filed under: uncultured eukaryote
Lineage: Eukaryota
Description: partial 18S ribosomal RNA
Rfam family: Eukaryotic small subunit ribosomal RNA
Source: RNAcentral